This 349-nucleotide non-coding RNA is filed under the name Desulfoscipio gibsoniae DSM 7213. RNAcentral describes it as "Desulfotomaculum gibsoniae DSM 7213 Bacterial large subunit ribosomal RNA". It matches the Rfam family "Bacterial large subunit ribosomal RNA", at positions 2099 to 2447 of the family's 2925-position model. The record is from Rfam by way of RNAcentral. Lineage: Bacteria; Bacillati; Bacillota; Clostridia; Eubacteriales; Desulfallaceae.
CUUUACUGCAGCUUGACAUUGGAUUUUGGUAUUGCAUGUACAGGAUAGGUGGGAGGCUGAGAAGCCAGUGCGCCAGUUUUGGCAGAGCCACCGUUGGGAUACCACCCUUGUGAUAUUGAAAUUCUAACACGAGCCUUUGAAUCAAGGUUAUGGACAGUGUCAGGUGGGCAGUUUGACUGGGGCGGUCGCCUCCCAAAAGGUAACGGAGGCGCCCAAAGGUUCCCUCAGCGCGGUUGGAAAUCGCGCGCACAGAGUGUAAAGGCAGAAGGGAGCUUGACAGCGAGACCAACAAGUCGAGCUGGGAGGUAUUUGGGCAUCUACCCUGCUGUGUGCCCCGAAGGGGUAGGAG